CAUAUACAUAUUUUUUAAGGUUUUCAUGGGCUCCUGGGCUGGCCGGCUGGGAUAGGUAUGGUUGAGGUGAGGGGGGCCCGAGCUAAAAACCAAGGGGCCCAGGCCUUUUUUUUGAAAAUUUUACAUGCUAAAAAAAAAAAAUUUUGGGCCCAGGGGGGGCCCUAGCCCCCUUUGCCCUCAAUGUGGGUCCGUCCCUCAUCAUGAUGGUAUGAUCUAAUAUUCUGUGCUAUUAAUCUUUUCUUCGUUUCAAGUAAUUUAUGAGUCCAUUUCACUUCUAUGACAUUUCAAGAUAAGUGAAGCAUUGUCCUUAUUGUUGAAUUUUCUUAUCAAUAAAAGAAAAGGCAUUGUCCUCAUGGUUGAUGGAAACCAAUUAGAUUUGAGAAUCAAAAUAUUAUGACACGAUAAACAACCAGCCUUCUAGGACUUGUUACAGCAAUAUGACAACUUUAGAGUUUAUAAAUCUUCCUCUGAAUAGUUAUGCUUCAUAACAGAUAAUUUUGCUAACAAAGCAUUAAAUAAAGAACAUUCGUAUUCUUCUAAUUCAACCCAAGCUUAUUGAUUUGAGUUUGACAAUGAUGAUUCUAAUAAAAAAUUAAGCCAAAAUCCCAAAAUUUCCCAAGUGUAUUGAAAAUGAGAUAAUUUUUAAGAAGUUCCAUCUAAAUUAGGGAUCCGGAUCCUCUCCGUUUCAAUAUGAAAUGGAGAGUGUCCAGUGAAAGGCUGAGAUUGAUUUAAAAUCAAUCUAUGGCCUAAAAUCAGCCACGCCAUUUAAAAUACACUUAACAGAGCAAUGAGUCAUAAUUAACGUUAGUUUUCAACGUUUCUUCUGUCUCUAUGGGUUCUCACUUUCUCUAUCUCUCUCAUCAAAAAUCCAUGGCUCCUCUCUCUCACCUCAAUCGAGUUUCUCCCUCACUCUCCCUAGCGCUCCACUCUCUCAACCCCGACUGCGCCUCCACCAAUCUCUCCACCAACACGCUUGCUCUCUGCCUCUCCCUCAACCCCGUCGUCAUCGCUUCCCGCAUUCCCAACUCAAACCCAUAAGCAAAAACAAAGAAAAAACAGUAAACAGUAACUCACCAGUUGAGAUCCCAACCCCACACAUUCGCACCCUUUUUAGACCCAGAUCAGAGAGAAAGGGUUGGGGUUUGGAGAGAAUCGGGUGUUUAAGUGAGAAUUUGAUGCUUUUCAGACCCAGAUCAGAGAAAGUAAGGGUUAGGGUUUGGAUAGAAUUGGGUAAGAGAGAAGUUGAUGCUCAAUCUCCAUGGCUACAGCUAGCAACCAUCGUGUUCCGCUCCACCAAUUCCGGCAGUGGUUUCGAUAUGCAAGGCACUUGCUGGAGCUGACAGAAAGGAGCUGAUGAGGAAGUUGCCAAAAUUUAUAUAUGAUGAGGAGAAAACUUUGGAGAGAACCCGCAAAAUAUUAACGGAGAAGAUUGCUCAGUUGAAUUCAGCCAUAGACGAUGUUUCUGCUCAGCUUCAUGGAGAUGAUGCCCCUAAUGGAGUUGCAGUGAAUUCAGAUGAAGUUGGAGCUUCAAUGUAAAAUAAUAUUUGUUGUAAUUUCCAUAUAAACCAUCACUACUUACGUGUGAUUAGUACUGACAAACAAUGUUUUGAAUCCUUUAUCCCUUUUAAUUUUCUAUUCGGUUAAUAAAUUCAGGUUGAUUGUACUUAUAUAAAAAAUUUACUAGAAAUGAUAGCAAAAUAUGAUUUGUUUCACA
Quercus robur (English oak) is the source of this 1714-nucleotide long non-coding RNA. RefSeq lists it as uncharacterized. The record is from RefSeq and is a predicted model, not a curated record. The transcript has 3 exons. NCBI's taxonomy places the organism in Eukaryota, Viridiplantae, Streptophyta, Magnoliopsida, Fagales, Fagaceae.